CAGCCGCCGCGGGAAAACGGAGGGUGCAAGCGUUAAUCGGAAUUACUGGGCGUAAAGCGCACGCAGGCGGUCUGACAAGUCAGAUGUGAAAUCCCCGGGCUUAACCUGGGAACUGCAUUUGAAACUGUCAGGCUGGAGUCUUGUAGAGGGGGGUGGAAUUCCAGGUGUAGCGGUGAAAUGCGUAGAGAUCUGGAGGAAUACCGGUGGCGAAGGCGGCCCCCUGGACAAAGACUGACGCUCAGGUGCGAAAGCGUGGGGAGCAAACAGGAUUAGAUACCCGGGUAGUCCCUGUCUCUUAUAC
RNAcentral lists this ribosomal RNA (301 nucleotides) under uncultured bacterium. RNAcentral's name for it is "partial 16S ribosomal RNA". It matches the Rfam family "Bacterial small subunit ribosomal RNA", at positions 509 to 807 of the family's 1533-position model. The record is from RNAcentral.